This 253-nucleotide ribosomal RNA is filed under the name uncultured bacterium. RNAcentral's name for it is "partial 16S ribosomal RNA". It matches the Rfam family "Bacterial small subunit ribosomal RNA", at positions 524 to 776 of the family's 1533-position model. The record is from RNAcentral.
UACGUAGGGGGCAAGCGUUGUCCGGAUUUAUUGGGCGUAAAGAGCGUGUAGGCGGUUAGGUAGGUCCGUUGUGAAAACUCGAGGCUCAACCUCGAGACGCCGAUGGAAACCAUCUAACUAGAGUCCGGAAGAGGAGUGUGGAAUUCCCGGUGUAGCGGUGAAAUGCGCAGAUAUCGGGAAGAACACCCGUGGCGAAGGCGGCACUCUGGGACGGUACUGACGCUGAGACGCGAAAGCGUGGGGAGCGAACAGG